This 597-nucleotide long non-coding RNA is filed under the name Rattus norvegicus (Norway rat). RNAcentral's name for it is "long non-coding RNA NONRATT004014". The record is from RNAcentral. Lineage: Eukaryota; Metazoa; Chordata; Mammalia; Rodentia; Muridae.
GCUUUUGUCCCCCGAGUUGUGAUCUAGGGACUUGGCACUAGGUGUUGCCUGACAGGAUCUCGGAACGUGUUCAGGGACCGGACGUCUCGGGGUGGAGAUCCUGCUCUUCGCCAACUCUGCCACCCCAGACCUCUUGGGAUCGUGCUCUUUGGGCUCUGGACCCCAUGGCUGAUAAGAAACUGGUGGUGGUUUUUGGAGCCACAGGGUUUCUCUGUGUAGCCCUGGAUGUCCUGGAACUGGCUCUGUAGACCAGGCUGACCUCAGACUCACAGAGAUCCACCUCCCUUUGCUCCUCAAGUGCUGGGAUUAAAGGUGCGCAAGGUGGCUCGGUGGCACGUACACUGCUGGAAGAUGGGACAUUCAGGGUUCGAGUGAACAUGUUCCGUUUCUAUGCCCUGAAACCUGACCGGAACAUUGAUCUGACCCUGCGACUCAACCCCAAAGCCCAGACACUGGACCAGUGGCUGGAGCAGCACAAAGGGGACUUUGCACAUUUGUGAUCUUGAAGCACUCAUGUGAGGAACAAGAAGCACAACACCCUUUCUUGUGUACAGUUCUGUGUUUGUUUUUUCCCCUAAAUAAAGCCAUUGUUCUCUC